UAGGGAAUAUUGCGCAAUGGGGGCAACCCUGACGCAGCAACUCCACGUGUGGGAUGAAGCAUUUCGGUGUGUAAACCACUGUCGAGAGGGAAUAACUCGGCCUUUCGGGGCCGUUGAAUGUACCUUUAAAGGAAGCACCGGCAAACUUCGUGCCAGCAGCCGCGGUAAUACGAGGGGUGCAAGCGUUGUUCGGAAUCACUGGGCGUAAAGGGAGCGUAGGCGGGCCGCCAAGCGUUCUGUGCAAUCCCGGGGCCCAACCCCGGACCCGCAGAGCGAACUGGCGUCCUUGAGUGGUUCAGAGGCCGGCGGAAUUCCUGGUGUAGCGGUGGAAUGCGUAGAUAUCAGGAAGAACACCGAUGGCGAAGGCAGCCGGCUGGGGACCCACUGACGCUGAGGCUCGAAAGCGUGGGAAGCAAACAGG
Molecule: ribosomal RNA, 421 nt
Filed under: uncultured Fibrobacter sp.
Lineage: Bacteria; Pseudomonadati; Fibrobacterota; Fibrobacteria; Fibrobacterales; Fibrobacteraceae
Description: bacterial SSU rRNA
Rfam family: Bacterial small subunit ribosomal RNA
Source: RNAcentral